This 432-nucleotide ribosomal RNA is filed under the name uncultured bacterium. RNAcentral describes it as "partial 16S ribosomal RNA". It matches the Rfam family "Bacterial small subunit ribosomal RNA", at positions 338 to 795 of the family's 1533-position model. The record is from RNAcentral.
CCUACGGGUGGCAGCAGUCGAGGAUUUUUCUCAAUGGGGGAAACCCUGAAGGAGCGACGCCGCGUGAGGGAUGAAGGUCUUCGGAUUGUAAACCUCUGUCAUCUGGGAACUAGUACCGGAAGAGGAAGCAGUGGCUAACUCUGUGCCAGCAGCCGCGGUAAUACAGAGACUGCAAGCGUUGUUCGGAUUCAUUGGGCGUAAAGGGUGCGCAGGCGGUGUGUUAAGUCGGAUGUGAAAUCUCACAGCCUAACUGUGAUAGGUCAUUCGAAACUGGCAUGCUAGAGGACUGGAGAGGAGACUGGAAUGGUCGGUGUAGCGGUGAAAUGCGUAGAGAUCGACUAGAACACCGGUGGCGAAGGCGAGUCUCUGGACAGUCCUGACGCUCAGGCACGAAAGCCAGGGGAGCAAACGGGAUUAGAUACCCUUGUAGUC